GACGAACGCUGGCGGCGUGCUUAACACAUGCAAGUCGAACGGUAAGGCCCCUUCGGGGGUACACGAGUGGCGAACGGGUGCGUAACACGUGAGCAACCUGCCCUUGACUCUGGAAUAACAGUUGGAAACAGCUGCUAAUACUGGAUAUUCAUCGUCUCCUUCCUGGGGGGUGGUGGAAAGCUCCGGCGGUCAGGGAUGGGCUCGCGGCCUAUCAGCUUGUUGGUGAGGUAAUGGCUCACCAAGGCUUCGACGGGUAGCCGGCCUGAGAGGGCGACCGGCCACACUGGGACUGAGAUACGGCCCAGACGCCUACGGGAGGCAGCAGUGGGGAAUAUUGCACAAUGGGCGCAAGCCUGAUGCAGCAACGCCGCGUGCGGGAUGACGGCCUUCGGGUUGUAAACCGCUUUCAGUAGGGACGAAGGGUGACUGACGGUACCUACAGAAGAAGGACCGGCUAACUACGUG
This 465-nucleotide ribosomal RNA is filed under the name uncultured bacterium. RNAcentral describes it as "partial 16S ribosomal RNA". It matches the Rfam family "Bacterial small subunit ribosomal RNA", at positions 28 to 507 of the family's 1533-position model. The record is from RNAcentral.